Octopus sinensis (East Asian common octopus) is the source of this 217-nucleotide long non-coding RNA. RefSeq lists it as uncharacterized. NCBI's taxonomy places the organism in Eukaryota, Metazoa, Mollusca, Cephalopoda, Octopoda, Octopodidae. The transcript is spliced from 3 exons. The record is from RefSeq and is a predicted model, not a curated record.
CGUACAUAUUCUAUCUUUAAACUCCAUCCUGUCAACACCUGAAAUAUAAAAUUCUGCCCUGAAGAAGGAAGCGGAGUUAUCCGAUAAUGGAACCAAGUAACUAUCAUUAUUCCAGACCACCAAGCCCCAGAAGCAGCUGUUGGACUCGGAAAACUCAACCCAUUUAACUUCUGAUAUCAUUUAUAUUCUGUGGACAUGCUCAACUGGUCGCAGUUUU